CUCAGUUCGGAUCGGAGUCUGCAACCCGACUCCGUGAAGCUGGAUUCGCUAGUAAUCGCGCAUCAGCCAUGGCGCGGUGAAUACGUUCCCGGGCCUUGUACACACCGCCCGUCAAGCCAUGGGAGCCGGGAGCGCUUGAAGUGCGUCGCCGCGAGGCGCGCCCUAGAGCGAGACCGGUGACUGGGGCUAAGUCGUAACAAGGUACC
Molecule: ribosomal RNA, 206 nt
Filed under: uncultured bacterium
Lineage: Bacteria
Description: partial 16S ribosomal RNA
Rfam family: Bacterial small subunit ribosomal RNA
Source: RNAcentral